Molecule: long non-coding RNA, 1094 nt
Filed under: Ananas comosus (pineapple)
Lineage: Eukaryota; Viridiplantae; Streptophyta; Magnoliopsida; Poales; Bromeliaceae
Description: long non-coding RNA (ACOM_LNC004356)
Source: RNAcentral
UUUAAUAUUAAUAAAUUAAUAUUAAAUACCAAAAAUCUCUUUUUACAAUAAAUUUUAGGAUCUACGUAUAAUAAAAUUUAAAAAAUUAAAUUCUAUUCUAAAUCAAAUCAUUAAAUUUUAGUGAUUUUUCUAAUACAAAUAUAUAUAAUCGUAAUUUAAAACUUCCAAAACUACAUCUGAUUUUUAAAAAUUUAAUCCUUAUAAAAAAAUCUUUAAAUUUUUUUUAUAAGAACACUAAAGAAAAAUUACCGAAAAUAAAAAUUCUGAAAAUUAACAAAAUUAAAUUCUCAUUAUUUUAUUUUUAUUUUGAGAAAAAAAUAGCAAGCUACCUGCUUCAUUUAUUAGGUAAAAUGAACUAGACAUAUAUGGUGAAAGCAACUAAGACUUUCGAAAAGAAAUUCUCAUUAUUUUGUCAUUGCACCACCAUGUCGGUGACUCUGAGGGCUUGUUUGGUUCAUCCAUUUUGGGUAUCGAAUGGGAAGCGGUUUGAUCAAAUCCGGUUAAUUUUGUUUGGUUCGCAUGAAUCGGCUUGGGAUUUCUAUUCCAGACUGGAAUGGGAAUGGCCCAUUAGCCUUCAACUUGAUUCCGGUCUUCUAGCUCGGAUUGAGAUUUCAUUUCGGAAGCCCACUAAGUUCUCGAAGUCCAUGUGACCAUCUCACCCUCCUUCUCUCCACCCCUUUCUCAUCAAAAAAAAAAAAAAAAAUCUAUCCUCUCUCAAAACCCUAUUCCUAACCCACAUCAAUAAAAGUUUUUAAAAAUAAAUUUGAUAUUUUUUUUGAAAAACUUAUUAAAGAAUAGUAUUAUAUUUUUCAUAAAUUUUAAAUAAUAUAAAUUUAUAUUUGAGAGUAAAAUCAGCAUUAUAGUAUCCUAUAAUUUUUUUAAUUUAUACGAACCAAACAAUGAAAUGUGAAUAACUAAUUCCAAUUCCCAAUCCACAAAUAAAUCAAACGUCUUGGAAGAGUGGGUCAUUCCAAUUACUAUUCCAAUUCAUUCCCAUUUCAUUAUCCAUUCCAAUUCCACCCUUGAACCAAACAAGCCCUGAAUGUCGUACCCACUCUUUUUCCCAUUGUAGACCAUCAUCUACAGCAACUCUU